RNAcentral lists this long non-coding RNA (823 nucleotides) under Volvox carteri. Its description in RNAcentral is "long non-coding RNA (VCAR_LNC001902)". Lineage: Eukaryota; Viridiplantae; Chlorophyta; Chlorophyceae; Chlamydomonadales; Volvocaceae. The record is from RNAcentral.
GGCCUAGGGUUGGUCCAUUCCGCAUGUCUUUGCCGGUUGCCAGGUUACCUUGUCCCAGGGUUGGUGCUAAGACCUGGCAGUUUUGCAUCGCUGUGUUUGUGCGUUUUCUGUGUCGCGGUAGGCUGGGGCUCUUUCUGACUCCGUUUAUGUUGGGCUCCUGUGGGGUCAGUUCCUAGCUGCCAAGAGCUUUAUCCAAGCCCGUGCUGCUCAGCCUUAUUUUCAGUGCCAUGAGCUCCGUGGACUCCGUGAGCUCCGUGUAUGUCUUGCUCGGUUAACCAAGAGCGCCCUGUGCUGGAGACAGCCCCUGCUGGCGGCGUUUUUAUAGUAGUUGGUUGCAUUUGCAGCACUCCGUGGCUCUGUCAGACUCUCUUUGUGUUGGUCUUUAUUGCAGGUGCUGUGUGGAUUCUUUGAACAGUUGGCCGGUGUACCUGUUGGUUCGGAGGUGGCCCGACCUUGCUGUUUGUCGUGCUGGGUUUCGUCAUCCGUAUCCCUGCUGUCAGCGCCCUGGGCGCGUGGAGCGGUCGUUAUUGCAGAGCCGGUGUUCAGUUCAAGCCCUAGUUGGCCGUUUAGUCAACCCUCAGCGGGCACAUGUUUGGCAUUCUCGCGUGUCUAUCGUCCAUUCCUUCAGAUGGCGUCCGUCAGCGUUUGUUGAGGGAUCCGUCGCGUUUGUGGCCGGUGGGUCAGUCUGUGCGCGGUUGGAGAGCGCUGGUUUGACCUCGUCCUUGUGGUUUUGGCAGCGUUCUGUUUGUUUGCUCUUUUGCCUGUGUAGAGAUGGCGUGUCCGCCGUCCUUGCUGCUGGAGUAUCGUUUGGAGGUCGUUGAGG